This 199-nucleotide long non-coding RNA is filed under the name Elaeis guineensis (African oil palm). RNAcentral describes it as "long non-coding RNA (EGUI_LNC040157)". Lineage: Eukaryota; Viridiplantae; Streptophyta; Magnoliopsida; Arecales; Arecaceae. The record is from RNAcentral.
GGCAACUAACAAGACCAUGGUUUUUAGAUGCAGAGAUCUACUAUCCAUGCUAAGGUAUCGAGUUCUGAACUCGUACUUGAUAUACAUAGAAUGUAUAGUGUAGAUAUGAUCUGCAGAUGCUUGUUUUGAUGUGAUCAUGCUUACUGAUUUUAUUUUUUAGAUCAUAUACAUGCAUCAUAACAUGUUAUAGAUCCUAAGA